This 71-nucleotide transfer RNA is filed under the name Actinomycetota bacterium. RNAcentral describes it as "tRNA-Gln". It matches the Rfam family "tRNA". From Rfam's summary of the family: Transfer RNA (tRNA) molecules are approximately 80 nucleotides in length. Their secondary structure includes four short double-helical elements and three loops (D, anti-codon, and T loops). Further hydrogen bonds mediate the characteristic L-shaped molecular structure. tRNAs have two regions of fundamental functional importance: the anti-codon, which is responsible for specific mRNA codon recognition, and the 3' end, to which the tRNAs corresponding amino acid is attached (by aminoacyl-tRNA synthetases). tRNAs cope with the degeneracy of the genetic code in two manners: having more than one tRNA (with a specific anti-codon) for a particular amino acid; and 'wobble' base-pairing, i.e. permitting non-standard base-pairing at the 3rd anti-codon position. Lineage: Bacteria; Bacillati; Actinomycetota. The record is from RNAcentral.
UGCGGGAUAGUUCAGCGGCAGAACGUCCGGCUCUGGACCGGAAGACCGAGGUUCGAAUCCUCGUCCCGCAG